GUAAGGAACCACUACUUUAGCUUAUGGAAACCAGUUGCGGUUUUAGUUCUUAUACUCAAUCAUACACAUAACAUCUAGUCAGAUUUGACUCCAAAAUACUAACCAAGCUUCUUAUUGCUUUU
This 122-nucleotide small RNA is filed under the name Arabidopsis thaliana (thale cress). Its description in RNAcentral is "ATSL199540". Lineage: Eukaryota; Viridiplantae; Streptophyta; Magnoliopsida; Brassicales; Brassicaceae. The record is from RNAcentral.